RNAcentral lists this small nucleolar RNA (138 nucleotides) under Ornithorhynchus anatinus (platypus). The record is from RNAcentral. Lineage: Eukaryota; Metazoa; Chordata; Mammalia; Monotremata; Ornithorhynchidae.
CCCCUCUCAGGGUCGCAGCUGGAGAGUUUCCAGUGCUCUACCAGUCUAGGCUCUGGGAGGGAGAGUCAAGCAGAGGCCUACCCGUUCCAUUCCUAGCUUGGGCAGUGGCUAGCAAGUGGAAGACAAUCUGUUACAAGU